CUGGCUCAGGAUGAACGCUAGCGGCAGGCUUAACACAUGCAAGUCGAGGGGCAGCGCGAGGUAGCAAUACUUGGCGGCGACCGGCGGAAGGGUGCGUAACGCGUGAGCAACAUGCCCGUAUGAGGGGGAUAAGCGAUGGAAACGUCGUCUAAUACCCCGUAACACAGGAGAUCGCAUGAUCACCUGUUGAAAGAUUUAUCGCAUACGGAUUGGCUCGCGUGACAUUAGCUAGUCGGCGGGGUAACGGCCCACCGAGGCGACGAUGUCUAGGGGUUCUGAGAGGAAGGUCCCCCACACUGGAACUGAGACACGGUCCAGACUCCUACGGGAGGCAGCAGUGAGGAAUAUUGGUCAAUGGGCGGAAGCCUGAACCAGCCAUGCCGCGUGAAGGAAUAAGGCCCUAUGGGUCGUAAACUUCUUUUGACGGGGAGCAAUAAGGGUCACGUGUGGCCCGAUGAGAGUACUCGUCGAAUAAGCAUCGGCUAACUCCGUGCCAGCCGCCGC
Molecule: ribosomal RNA, 504 nt
Filed under: uncultured bacterium
Lineage: Bacteria
Description: bacterial SSU rRNA
Rfam family: Bacterial small subunit ribosomal RNA
Source: RNAcentral